AGCGAACGCUGGCGGCAGGCCUAACACAUGCAAGUCGAACGAACCUUUCGGGGUUAGUGGCGGACGGGUGAGUAACACGUGGGAACGUGCCUUUAGGUUCGGAAUAACUCAGGGAAACUUGUGCUAAUACAGAAUGUGCCCUUCGGGGGAAAGAUUCAUCGCCUUUAGAGCGGCCCGCGUCUGAUUAGCUAGUUGGUUGAGGUAAUGGCUAACCAAGGCGACGAGCAGUAGCUGGUCUGAGAGGAUGAUCAGCCACAUUGGGACUGAGACACGGCCCAAACUCCUACGGGAGGCAGCAGUGGGGAAUCUUGCGCAAUGGGCGAAAGCCUGACGCAGCCAUGCCGCGUGAAUGAUGAAGGUCUUAGGAUUGUAAAAUUCUUUCACCGGGGACGAUAAUGACGGUACCCGGAGAAGAAGCCCCGGCUAACUUCGUGCCAGCAGCCGCCGUAA
Molecule: ribosomal RNA, 450 nt
Filed under: uncultured bacterium
Lineage: Bacteria
Description: partial 16S ribosomal RNA
Rfam family: Bacterial small subunit ribosomal RNA
Source: RNAcentral